This 207-nucleotide ribosomal RNA is filed under the name uncultured bacterium. RNAcentral describes it as "partial 16S ribosomal RNA". It matches the Rfam family "Bacterial small subunit ribosomal RNA", at positions 568 to 774 of the family's 1533-position model. The record is from RNAcentral.
CAUGUAGGCGGAUUAAUAAGUUUGAAGUGAAAUCCUAUAGCUUAACUAUAGAACUGCUUUGAAAACUGUUAAUCUAGAAUGUGGGAGAGGUAGAUGGAGUUUCUGGUGUAGGGGUAAAAUCCGUAGAGAUCAGAAGGAAUACCGAUUGCGAAGGCGAUCUACUGGAACAUUAUUGACGCUGAGAUGCGAAAGCGUGGGGAGCAAACA